This is a long non-coding RNA of Gopherus evgoodei (Goodes thornscrub tortoise), 2266 nucleotides long. RefSeq lists it as uncharacterized. Lineage: Eukaryota; Metazoa; Chordata; Testudines; Testudinidae. The transcript has 2 exons. The record is from RefSeq and is a predicted model, not a curated record.
UCUAUUUAACAGUGCGAUUAAAACUGUGAUUGUGAUUAAUUUUUUAAUUGCGAUUAAUAUUUUUGAAUUAAUCAUGUGCGUUAACUUGCAAUUAACCAACAGCCCUAAAAGUAAUUAAACAUGAUAGACUCCGAUUUUCCCUUCAUAUAUGGCUGCCAUAUGUUACAUUCUGAAAGAGUAAAGUACAAACAGGCUAUUCACCUUUCUUUUAAUAAUAAUAUUAAAAUAAAGAUAUGCUUGGAAACACCAAAAUUUGUAGACACACCUACACUGCAGCUAUAAUGUAAUUAGCCAAAGAAUUGUAAACAUGCAGAAUUACAGAUGGAUUUUCUGAAAAAAUCCCAAACUACUCAUUAAAGCUGCACAGAGGCCUUUGACUCACUUAAGUUCCCCUUUUCUUUAUCAUUAACUUCUUUAGUGUUUUUCCUGAAAGCUAAAGGAAAGAUUUAGAUUGCUUUUGUUACUUUAGGGCUGUAAUUCAAUGCUUGUAAUUUCACACUAAUGUUGAGGAGACAGUAAGGCAAAGGCAGUGUGCACCACAAAAUAUACAUUAUUCAUUUUUUUGUAGCAAGUGCAAUUUCUCUUUAAUCAUACACAAAUUGAUUAAGGAUAUUAGUAACAUUUUGAUAAUAUCUUAGUAAUUGGCAUCCUCAUUACACCAGUGUUGUGUGUGCAAAUUGUGCAUUGUCCGAUUUUGCAGGAGUCACUUGUGCACAGCUGGAAGUGUAAUGUUGUAAACUCAUUUCUUUUCUGCAGUGUUAAUAUAUUAAAAUAAUUAGCACACAUGGGCCAGAUCCUUAGCUGGUGUAAACUGACACAGUUCCAUUAGAGGACCUGGCCUUUUAUGUAUGUAGUUUAUAGCUGAAGUUAAAAAACUUCAAGUACAUUUGUGUAGUAGGUAAGAAAAGAAAGCUUGAAUUGUCUCUUCCCUUGUAAGUACCAGACAUUGUUUCUUCUAUUAAUAAGUUUUGCUCAUACUACUUUUAUUUGAAUGGCUUCAUUUGCAAAUAAAGUUGUCCAAAUGGGUUUUGUGUACAAAUUAUUGGCUUGAUCCUCUGAGGUGCUGAGCACCACCAUCUGUUGAAGUCAAUGGGGGAUGACAACAGUGAAUAAAACACAGAUGUUCAGUACCUCACAGGCUCACACCACCUAUUGCUUAUGUGCAGAAACAGAAGCUGAGUUUGGACCUGAGAGUUUCCUUAAAAUUUCUUCUACUGAAAGUCAAAACACUGUUGCUUUGAGACCUGAGCCUCAUUCAGUGGCAUGAGCUCAUGUUGUUCAGCUCAGUUUCAGACAUGUUCCCACCCCAGAAAUUAAAUACUUGUUCAGUUGAGUUUGCUCCAGGAGAAAAGUCUACCUGCCAAUUGACCUAGGCCUUGUCUGACUACACUAGAAAAAUCAGUACAGAACAAACACACUUAGGCAACCACCCCGAGGGGCAGUAGCAUUGAUGUAAGCAGGGCUGAAGUGUUUAACUAAAUGAGUCAUGAAAAUCUACCCUAUGUUUCCAUUACAGGGUGGUAAAAUACCUGAGCCCUAUCUACACUAGUGCUUUGGCCCAAGUACAGCUUUGCUGUUGUAAUGCUAGUACUGAUUUUGUAGUGUAGAUGAACCCAGAAAGUGUCUAUGAAAGGGCAUUAGAAAGGAUUGAGGCCAGAACAAACCCCCUCAGCAUCAGGCACCAUCUCCCAUAGUAAUUAUACUUAGUGUUUGUGUAUACUAGAAAGUUCUCACUUUAGCAGUACAACCACUGAGACCUAACCAUUUGUACUGGUGUAGGAGUGCUUGUAACAGUAUAGCUAUUCCCACAGGGGAAGAAUAUACAGGUAAGGCACCUUUAUACUGGUCUAACUGCAUCCACACAAGGACUUAUCAGAAAUCACAUCCCUAAUCAAAAGUUAUGCCAGUGUAACUUAAAUUUAAUUUUUACUAUAGCUAAGGCCUAGUCUAGACUAAAGAUAAAAAAUAGUUUGGAUUUGCUUUUUAAACCCUUGAAAAAGCACAAACUUGACUGAAUUUGUGAUGGAAAAAGGUGUUUUUUUAAAUGAAACAACCUGACAGUUUACAGAAAUGUUCAAGAUUUUACUGCAAACCAAUGGGUUCAGUCACCAAAAAAAAAAAAAAAAAAAAAAAAAAAAGUACAUAACCAUGUUAUAAUUACAUUACAAUGAUGGUGUACAUUACAAGCCAGGCUGUAAGUUUAAAUAUACAUCUAGAGUUUCAACUGAAUGUACAGACUUUUUUUUUUUUUUUUUUUUUUUUUUUU